Molecule: ribosomal RNA, 253 nt
Filed under: uncultured bacterium
Lineage: Bacteria
Description: partial 16S ribosomal RNA
Rfam family: Bacterial small subunit ribosomal RNA
Source: RNAcentral
UACGGAGGGGGCUAGCGUUGUUCGGAAUUACUGGGCGUAAAGGGCGCGCAGGCGGCUGCUCAAGUAAGGCGUGAAAGGCCUGGGCUCAACCCGGGAACUGCGUCCGAAACUGGCAGGCUCGAAUCCGGGAGAGGGAUGCGGAAUUCCAGGUGUAGCGGUGAAAUGCGUAGAUAUCGUUUGGAACGCCAAAGGUGAAAACAGGCGACUGGAGACAAUCUGACGCUGAGACGCGAAAGCCAGGGGAGCAAACGGG